CCGCCUCUGUUUCCUCUUGUCUCUCUUGAACCCUCUCAACUUCUGAAACCCUAGAAGCCACCUACCCCCCCUCCGACCUAAAAUCCACGGAAUCCAUGGCUAAUCUAGCCAUGGAUUAUCUCUACUCACUGUCUCUUGCUCCUAUAUGCCUGCUCGUUGAAAAUUCGAGGAUAGACGUCAAAGGUAUUCAUCCAGACCCUGACUGAUUCAAGUUUCUUUGGCCAUUUCCAGUUUUACUUUGCCAUCUCUUAGCCUUUCGAGCCUUGAUUCGACCUUAGCAGCACCAUUCUCGAGACUUCCAAUCCUUCUCGUCCUUUAAGGUUCUCAGAAACCCUAGCCUAUUCGAGGUUCUUUCUUUGUUUAUUUGCCUAGAUCUGUGGUGAAUCUACGUUAUAUUUGACGUUUUAAGUAUUUUCCCCAAUUUUCCUUUUUAAAAAUCGUUUGAUUUCAAAACUAGGGUUUCGGAAAGUCUUUUGAUUCUUGCUGAUCUUUUCUUUUGAAUGUUUAUCUAUAUUAUGCUCGUAUGUUUUCCUUCUCUAUUACCCAUGUAUUGUCCUUCUUUUCUUUAUGUGUGUGCUCACAUGAUUAAUCUGUGUUAAACUUUUCUCAUGUUUGUAUUUACUGCUGAGUUUCUUGACUAUGGUUGUGUGUUUGUUAAGCAUGUUUCUUCUGUUCUUAAGUUUUGAAAUUGUCGGGGCAUGUUAUGGUUUUGUCUCUUUGAUUGUCUCAAGCCUGCUAUUGUAUUUGCUUGACUCUCAUAAGACUCCUCGAGUCUGUUCACUUGCCUUCUCGUUUCUGUGGGGAAACCCUACAAUUUGGGGUUAUUCUUUGAGUAAAAGACACUAGGGUUUCAAAUUGAAACCCUAGGUUCACAGACUCACAACUAGUCUGUAAUCGAACUCAAAACCCUAUUUGCCUGUGAUUAUGAAAGCUCUCAUUGUUCUUCUUUGGUUUUGAACUCUGUGCUUUAUAUAUAAGCUUCCCUUUCAAAGUUUAUUUUCGAAAUCCCUUUAAACAGGCUAAGAAAUUCGUCACUGAUUUUCUCUUUGUUGGACCUCUUUUACCUACUAAUGUGUUCCUUAAAUAAUUGAUCCUGUAUCUUCUGUGAUUUUGUACCAAUGUUUGAAUUAUUUACUUUCUUAAUUGCCUCAGUUUCUUUGUGAUUUGCAAUUGGAUCCGAGAUCCUUUGACUGAUUUUUCAAACUUGUACCUACUGUGACCUCUUCCCUUAAAUACCAAUUGUGUAUGUGACCUUGUUUGUGCACUAUAUGGUCUCUUUACCUUAAUAUAGCCCUAAUAAACUGAUUCUCUCUUCCUUCUUAGUCGUUUGAAUUAGACCCUUAAUUAAAGGAGUCUGAUAUCCCUAAUUGAUACUAAUUUUAUAAGUUUCUAUGUUUUGCACUCUCUUGCCUGCCUCACUUGUUUUUUAAAAAAACUAUAUAAAGGUCUUAGCCCUCACCCUAUUUGAAAAAGAACCAUAACAAAAUGAAAAAAGAAAUAACAAUCAAGUAGUAGUCAAUUUAUUUUCUACUCUCCUCUUCUCACAAAUACACAGACCAGUUCUGUGUACUCCUCCUCUUUGCUUUCUGAAAUACCUUUAAGUUCUCCUUGAAUCUUCAAGUGUUCUGCUGAAAACCUGAGUUGUUUAUGUUGUUUGCUUACUGCGGUUACUCUGUUAUUCUCUUUUUGUUACUUUGCAAGUGGCAUGUUCAUCUUAUUUUAGUGUUGCUCCUCCACUUUGUGAUUUUCAUUCUAGUUCUGUUAUGUUUUUCUUUGCUGUUCUUCUGCAACUUUGUCAUUAGUGUUCUUAUGUGACCCUUACCCUUUACCCCUUUAUAUGUGAGUUAUGGUUCAAGGCAUACACCACUCUAAUAUUGUUGUCUAUGAUUCUGAAUUGGGUUUUUUGAAUCCCUAGCUCAAUCAUUUCCCACUACCUUUCCCCCUUUAUGUGUUUGAGCCUUGGACUUGGGUCUGAUAGUGUCCUAAUCACUAUCCAGACUUAGGUCUGACCUUCAAGGAUCUGCUCCUAACUUGUUUAACCAAACAAGUGGUCAGGGGUGUGCCAGCCUACACUUGUGUCUAGGCAUGACAACCAUUUGUAUGGCUCCCCAAUUCCUUUUAACUUUUCACUUACUCUUAGCCAUAAGUACUGCCCCUCAUUUGCAAGCCAUGCUAUGGGACCCCUGAUCUCCCUCUAAACUUGGAUUCCUGAAGGCUGGCUCUUCCACACUGCACUAUUCUAAUUCUAAUGGUAUCCUGGGUGUAAGCAAUGCAUGGAAUCCCUUAGAUUCCUUGGAAAUUUUAAACACUUUGGAUAAAGAGAAGGUUUGGGAAAUCUGGAUUCCGGAAUUAGUUAAACACAUAUUGUUGGACAUUAAGGUUGAUCCUGCUCCUAAUUUGUUGAACCAAAAAAGUGGUCAUGGGUGUGCCAGCUUACUUUGUGGCUAGGUAUGACCACCAUUUGUCAUGGCUCCCAAAUCCCCCUUUCAAUUUGCACUUCCUCUUAGCUAUAAGUUUUUCCCCUCUCUUGUAGGCCAUGCUUUGGGACCUUUGAGCUCCCUCUGAUCUUGGAUUCUUGAGAGGUGGCUCUUCCAUACUGCACUGUUCUAAUUCAAAUGGUAUCCUGGGUGUAAGCAAUAUCGGGAAUCCCUGAGAUUCAUUGGAACUUUGAAACACUUUUGAUAAAGAGAAGACUUUGGAAAUCUAGAUCCCGGAAUUGGUUGAACAGAUGUUAUUGGACAUUAAAGUUGAAUUAGGCUUCUCGGAUCAAGCUGUUAGCUUUUGAUGUAUUUUUAUAUCUUUUCUGGUUUGUAAUAACUUGUAUAAAACUCUAGGAAUUUAGUAAAAGAGUGUGAGAAGGAUCUUUACUUUCUUGCAUAAAGAAGGGAUAGAAAUCAUGACUUUAGGACUUUAAUUUAUUCACCUAUAAAUCAUGCCUAUAGGUUUAUCACGCAG
Molecule: long non-coding RNA, 2955 nt
Filed under: Nicotiana benthamiana
Lineage: Eukaryota; Viridiplantae; Streptophyta; Magnoliopsida; Solanales; Solanaceae
Description: long non-coding RNA (NBEN_LNC015173)
Source: RNAcentral